This 257-nucleotide ribosomal RNA is filed under the name uncultured bacterium. RNAcentral's name for it is "partial 16S ribosomal RNA". It matches the Rfam family "Bacterial small subunit ribosomal RNA", at positions 524 to 776 of the family's 1533-position model. The record is from RNAcentral.
UACGGAGGGGGCUAGCGUUGUUCGGAAUUACUGGGCGUAAAGCGCACGUAGGCGGCUUUGUAAGUUAGAGGUGAAAGCCCAGGGCUUAACCCUGGAAUUGCCUUUAAGACUGCAUCGCUCGAAUUGUGGAGAGGUGAGUGGAAUUCCGAGUGUAGAGGUGAAAUUCGUAGAUAUCGGGGAGGAACACCGGUGGCGAAGGCGGGCGAUCUGGGGUCGAUACUGACGCUGAGGAGCGAAAGCGUGGGGGAGCGAACAGG